Molecule: unclassified non-coding RNA, 287 nt
Filed under: uncultured fungus
Lineage: Eukaryota; Fungi
Description: partial contains small subunit ribosomal RNA, internal transcribed spacer 1, and 5.8S ribosomal RNA
Rfam family: Eukaryotic small subunit ribosomal RNA (bases 1-73)
Source: RNAcentral
GCAAACUUGGUCAUUUAGAGGAAGUAAAAGUCGUAACAAGGUUUCCGUAGGUGAACCUGCGGAAGGAUCAUCAACGAUUUAUAUCUCUAAAUCCUACUCAUCCCGUGUGCAGUCUUUUACCAAGUCUGACAUCCUUGGAGAGGUCACCAUUCGUGAACUCUCCAAGGAGGUUAUCACGAUCAAUGUAUCUUUUUUUUUUUACUAUCCUGUGUCUAAAUUAGUAAAUGUAAUUUGAAACAACUUUCAACAACGGAUCUCUUGGCUCUCGCAUCGAUGAAGAACGCAGC